UUAGGAAUAUUGGACAAUGGGCGAAAGCCUGAUCCAGCGACACCGCGUGGAGGAUGAAGGUCUUCGGAUCGUAAACUCCUUUUGACCCCUCAUGAAGGGGGGUAGAAUAAGCAGCUACUAACUACGUGCCAGCAGUCGCGGUAAUACGUAGGCUGCAAGCGUUACCCGGAAUUACUGGGCGUAAAGCGUCUGUAGGUGGUUUAUCAAGUCUUGUUUUAAAGACCCCGGCUCAACUGGGGAAAGGGGCAGGAUACUGAUAAGCUGGAAUUGUUGGGAGGUUACUGGAAUUUGUGGUGUAGGGGUAAAAUCCGUGGAUACUACAAAGAACACCAAUGGCGAAGGCAGGUAACCAACAACACAUUGACACUGAGAGACUAAAGCUAGGGUAGCAAAUCAGAUU
Molecule: ribosomal RNA, 400 nt
Filed under: uncultured bacterium
Lineage: Bacteria
Description: bacterial SSU rRNA
Rfam family: Bacterial small subunit ribosomal RNA
Source: RNAcentral